RNAcentral lists this ribosomal RNA (241 nucleotides) under uncultured bacterium. RNAcentral's name for it is "partial 16S ribosomal RNA". It matches the Rfam family "Bacterial small subunit ribosomal RNA", at positions 95 to 334 of the family's 1533-position model. The record is from RNAcentral.
CCGGCGCACGGGUGAGUAACACGUAUCCAACCUGCCGUCUACUCUUGGCCAGCCUUCUGAAAGGAAGAUUAAUCCAGGAUGGGAUCAUGAGUUCACAUGCCCGCAUGAUUAAAGGUAUUUUCCGGUAGACGAUGGGGAUGCGUUCCAUUAGAUAGUAGGCGGGGUAACGGCCCACCUAGUCAACGAUGGAUAGGGGUUCUGAGAGGAAGGUCCCCCACAUUGGAACUGAGACACGGUCCAA